Vicia faba (fava bean) is the source of this 162-nucleotide non-coding RNA. Lineage: Eukaryota; Viridiplantae; Streptophyta; Magnoliopsida; Fabales; Fabaceae. The record is from the annotation of a GenBank genome assembly.
AUGGAUAAAGGUUACCCCGUGAAUGUUCUAGAAUCAUCCAAAGAAGAAGCUUCAAGGAACCAGGUUGGUCUGUUGGUUGCACUAUGCUGGCCUGCCCGCUCCAAGUUGCGAGGUGAGCCACAGGACUUGUGCGAAGGCACGGGUCUUGUGAGUCUUAGAUAG